This 270-nucleotide ribosomal RNA is filed under the name Triticum aestivum (bread wheat). RNAcentral describes it as "partial small subunit ribosomal RNA". Lineage: Eukaryota; Viridiplantae; Streptophyta; Magnoliopsida; Poales; Poaceae. The record is from RNAcentral.
AUGGGGCGGUCGCCGUGCUGCGACGGGGAGGCCCGCGUGAAGAAGGGGCCGUGGACAACCGAGGAAGACAAGCUGCUGGUCAACUACAUCCAGGAGAAAGGCCACGGCAGCUGGCGCCGCCUGCCCAAGCUCGCCGGCCUCAACCGCUGCGGCAAGAGCUGCCGCCUCCGCUGGACCAACUACCUCCGCCCGGACAUCAAGCGGGGACGCUUCACCGACGACGAGGAGAAGCUCAUCAUCCACCUCCACUCCCUCCUCGGCAACAAGUAA